Molecule: non-coding RNA, 334 nt
Filed under: Rhynchosporium graminicola
Lineage: Eukaryota; Fungi; Ascomycota; Leotiomycetes; Helotiales; Ploettnerulaceae
Description: partial 18S ribosomal RNA
Rfam family: Group I catalytic intron (bases 18-296)
About the family: Group I catalytic introns are large self-splicing ribozymes. They catalyse their own excision from mRNA, tRNA and rRNA precursors in a wide range of organisms.
Source: RNAcentral
GGUUUCGCUCAUUACGGAGACCGUGCAUCUGGCAACAGAGGCAGCGCGACAGUAAAGAAUGCUGACCGUAUGCAAGUCAGUCCUGCUGGCAACACGAUCGAAUUGCGGGAACGUCCUAAAGCUCAACCUACUCCCUGCCCCUGAAAGGGGGCAGCACAGUCAUAAUGGCGGAGAUGUACAAUGGAUAAUCCGCAGCGAAGACCCUACAGCGCAAGCCACGGGUAUCGUUCACAGACUAAGUGAUUGUGGGUAGCGUGCUACUUAAGAUAUAGUCGGGCCCUGACCGAAAGGACAGGGAAAAACGUCCGUAGGUGAACCUGCGGAAGGAUCAUUA